GGAGAAGAGAGCACAUGGCCUCGAUACCGCUGGGACCUCAGCACCAUAAUCCGCCGGAAAAUCACCAUCACCACCACCUUCAGCCGCCGCCGCAGCUCGUGCAGCAGCAGCAGCAACAGCCUGUGAAUCGUGAACUAGGAGGAGGAGGAGGAGCUGCAGUAAGGAACGCCGGAGCACGACCGGAAAUGGAAUCCGAAAAGGAAAUGUCAGCUGCUGUUGUUGAGGGUAAUGGUGCCGUCACUGGUCACAUAAUUUCCACCACCAUUGGAGGCAAGAAUGGAGAACCAAAAAGGACCAUCAGUUAUAUGGCAGAGCGAGUUGUCGGUACAGGGUCCUUUGGGAUAGUGUUUCAGGCAAAAUGCUUGGAAACUGGAGAGACUGUGGCCAUAAAGAAGGUUUUACAGGACAAACGGUAUAAAAAUCGUGAACUACAACUGAUGCGCUUGAUGGAUCACCCAAAUGUCAUUACUCUAAAGCACUGCUUCUUUUCCACGACUAGUAGAGAUGAGCUUUUUCUUAAUUUGGUCAUGGAUUAUGUCCCUGAAAGUUUAUACAAGGUUUUAAAGCACUAUAGCAAUUCAAAUCAAAGGAUGCCACUCAUAUAUGUCAAACUUUACAUGUAUCAGAUAUUCAGAGGGCUGGCUUACAUUCAUAAUGUUCCAAGGAUUUGCCAUAGAGAUGUGAAACCUCAAAAUCUUUUGGUUGAUCCUCUGACCCAUCAAGUCAAGCUGUGUGAUUUU
Molecule: unclassified non-coding RNA, 740 nt
Filed under: Hevea brasiliensis (rubber tree)
Lineage: Eukaryota; Viridiplantae; Streptophyta; Magnoliopsida; Malpighiales; Euphorbiaceae
Source: RNAcentral